AGUGCGAGGGCAUAGAGCCCUCGCUUUUGUACACCGUAAGGUGGUGUACGAAUAAGAGCUGGGCAAGACCGGUGCCAGCCGCCGCGGUAAUACCGGCAGCUCGAGUGAUGGCCGAUCUUAUUGGGCCUAAAGCGUCCGUAGCUGGCCUGGCAAGUCCGUCGGGAAAUCCACCCCCUCAACGGGUGGGCGUCCGGCGGAAACUGCGAGGCUUGGGACCGGGAGGCUUGAAGGGUACGUCCGGGGUAGGAGUGAAAUCCCGUAAUCCUGGACGGACCACCGAUGGGGAAACCACUUCAAGAGAACGGAUCCGACAGUGAGGGACGAAAGCUAGGGUCUCGAACCGGAUUAGAUACCCGGGUAGUCCUAGCUGUAAACGAUGCCUGUUAGGUGUGACUCCCACUACGAGUGGGUGUUGUGCCGUAGGGAAGCCGCUAAACAGGCCGCCUGGGAAGUACGUCUGCAAGGAUGAAACUUAAAGGAAUUGGCGGGGGAGCACUACAACCGGAGGAGCCUGCGGUUUAAUUGGACUCAACGCCGGACAUCUCACCAGCAUCGACUGUGGUAAUGACGGUCAGGUUGAUGACCUUGCCCGAGCGACAGAGAGGAGGUGCAUGGCCGCCGUCAGCUCGUACCGUGAGGCGUCCUGUUAAGUCAGGCAACGAGCGAGACCCGCAUCCCUACUUGCCAGCAGCACCGCGAAGUGGCUGGGGACAGUAGGGAGACCGCCGUGGCUAACACGGAGGAAGGAACGGGCAACGGUAGGUCAGUAUGCCCCGAAUAUGNUGGGCAACACGCGGGCUACAAUGGCCGAGACAAUGGGUUCCAAUGCCG
Molecule: ribosomal RNA, 831 nt
Filed under: haloarchaeon 0Ct12
Lineage: Archaea; Methanobacteriati; Methanobacteriota; Halobacteria; Halobacteriales
Description: bacterial SSU rRNA
Rfam family: Archaeal small subunit ribosomal RNA
Source: RNAcentral